Nannospalax galili (Upper Galilee mountains blind mole rat) is the source of this 106-nucleotide small nuclear RNA. Lineage: Eukaryota; Metazoa; Chordata; Mammalia; Rodentia; Spalacidae. The record is from Ensembl.
GUGCUUGCUUUGCCAGCACAUACACUAAAAUUGGGAUGAAAUAAGAAAGAUUAGCAUGCCCAUACACAAGGAUGGCAAGCAAGUUCAUGAAGUGUUCUAUUUUAUU